CAGCCGUAAACAAUGUGCGUUAGGUGUGUCGGUAACCACGCGUUACUGAUGCGCCGAAGAGAAAUCGUGAAACGCACCACCUGGGAAGUACGGUCGCAAGGCUGAAACUUAAAGGAAUUGGCGGGGGAGCACCACAACAGGUGGAGCCUGCGGUUUAAUUGGGAUUCAACGCCGGGAAGCUCACCGGAUAGGACAGCAGAAUGAUUGCCGGGCUGAAGACCCUGCAUGACUAGCUGAGAGGAGGUGCAUGGCGUCAGUGACU
RNAcentral lists this ribosomal RNA (262 nucleotides) under uncultured archaeon. RNAcentral describes it as "partial 16S ribosomal RNA". It matches the Rfam family "Archaeal small subunit ribosomal RNA", at positions 748 to 1008 of the family's 1478-position model. The record is from RNAcentral.